This 216-nucleotide ribosomal RNA is filed under the name Glomeromycotina sp. Its description in RNAcentral is "partial small subunit ribosomal RNA". The stretch from base 40 to 216 matches the Rfam family "Eukaryotic small subunit ribosomal RNA", at positions 686 to 864 of the family's 1831-position model. Lineage: Eukaryota; Fungi; Glomeromycota. The record is from RNAcentral.
GGGUCAGUAGGUUGGUCGUGCCACCGGUACGUACUGGUCUCACUGAUUCCUCCUUCCUGAAGAACCGUAAUGCCAUUAAUCUGGUGUUGCGGGGAAGCAGGACUGUUACUUUGAAAAAAUUAGAGUGUUUAAAGCAAGCUAACGCUUGAAUACAUUAGCAUGGAAUAAUGAAAUAGGACGAUCGAUCCUAUUUUGUUGGUUUCUAGGAUUGACGUA